Molecule: ribosomal RNA, 253 nt
Filed under: uncultured bacterium
Lineage: Bacteria
Description: partial 16S ribosomal RNA
Rfam family: Bacterial small subunit ribosomal RNA
Source: RNAcentral
UACGUAGGUGGCGAGCGUUGUCCGGAAUUACUGGGUGUAAAGCGCGUGUAGGCGGGCGACUAAGUCGGAUGUGAAAUCCCUGGGCUCAACCUAGGAACUGCAUUCGAAACUGGUCACCUAGAGUGAUGGAGAGGAAAGCGGAAUUCCCGGUGUAGAGGUGAAAUUCGUAGAUAUCGGGAGGAACACCGAUGGCGAAGGCAGCUCGCUGGGACGGUACUGACGCUGAGGCGCGAAAGCGUGGGGAGCGAACAGG